GCUAGGGUAGCUCAGCUGGUAGAGCAUGAUUCUCUUAAUAUCAGAGUCGUGGGUUCAAAAUCCACACUGGGCA
Podarcis lilfordi (Lilford's wall lizard) is the source of this 73-nucleotide non-coding RNA. The record is from the annotation of a GenBank genome assembly. NCBI's taxonomy places the organism in Eukaryota, Metazoa, Chordata, Lepidosauria, Squamata, Lacertidae.